RNAcentral lists this unclassified non-coding RNA (298 nucleotides) under fungal sp. Its description in RNAcentral is "partial contains small subunit ribosomal RNA, internal transcribed spacer 1, and 5.8S ribosomal RNA". The stretch from base 1 to 47 matches the Rfam family "Eukaryotic small subunit ribosomal RNA", at positions 1785 to 1831 of the family's 1831-position model. Lineage: Eukaryota; Fungi. The record is from RNAcentral.
AAAGUCGUAACAAGGUUUCCGUAGGUGAACCUGCGGAAGGAUCAUUACAAAAAAUCCAAUGGCUAGCAUACUCUCAAGCAUGCGAAUCAUCAAACCAUUUCUGAGUACAUUACUUCCGCGUUGCUUUCGCAGGUGGACCGGCGUGACGGGGGACGAGGGUCCGCAUCGCGUCGUAAAAUCUGCGAAAGGGUCUGAGUUUUUUUAUUAUUAAAUUCUUCGUUUAACCGUCGUUCAAUUCUCGUCUGAAACAAACUACAAAACAAAAACAAAACUUUCAACAACGGAUCUCUUGGUUCUC